RNAcentral lists this transfer RNA (76 nucleotides) under Enterococcus faecium. Its description in RNAcentral is "tRNA-Asp". It matches the Rfam family "tRNA". Rfam says of the family: Transfer RNA (tRNA) molecules are approximately 80 nucleotides in length. Their secondary structure includes four short double-helical elements and three loops (D, anti-codon, and T loops). The record is from RNAcentral. Lineage: Bacteria; Bacillati; Bacillota; Bacilli; Lactobacillales; Enterococcaceae.
GGUUCCGUGGUGUAGGGGUUAACAUGCCUGCCUGUCACGCAGGAGAUCGCGGGUUCGAUUCCUGUCGGAACCGCCA